UAUGGCUCAAUGGUAGAGUGGUUGUCCAACAUUCAAGAAAUCCUGGGUUCAAUUCCCAGUA
This 61-nucleotide transfer RNA is filed under the name Cavia porcellus (domestic guinea pig). It matches the Rfam family "tRNA", at positions 6 to 65 of the family's 71-position model. From Rfam's summary of the family: Transfer RNA (tRNA) molecules are approximately 80 nucleotides in length. Their secondary structure includes four short double-helical elements and three loops (D, anti-codon, and T loops). Further hydrogen bonds mediate the characteristic L-shaped molecular structure. tRNAs have two regions of fundamental functional importance: the anti-codon, which is responsible for specific mRNA codon recognition, and the 3' end, to which the tRNAs corresponding amino acid is attached (by aminoacyl-tRNA synthetases). tRNAs cope with the degeneracy of the genetic code in two manners: having more than one tRNA (with a specific anti-codon) for a particular amino acid; and 'wobble' base-pairing, i.e. permitting non-standard base-pairing at the 3rd anti-codon position. Lineage: Eukaryota; Metazoa; Chordata; Mammalia; Rodentia; Caviidae. The record is from Rfam by way of RNAcentral.